CAGCCGCCGCGGUAAUACGUAGGGUGCGAGCGUUAAUCGGAAUUACUGGGCGUAAAGCGUGCGCAGGCGGUUGUGUAAGACAGGUGUGAAAUCCCCGGGCUUAACCUGGGAACUGCGCUUGUGACUGCACAGCUAGAGUAUGGCAGAGGGGGGUGGAAUUCCACGUGUAGCAGUGAAAUGCGUAGAGAUGUGGAGGAACACCGAUGGCGAAGGCAGCCCCCUGGGCCAAUACUGACGCUCAUGCACGAAAGCGUGGGGGGCAAACAGGAUUAGAUACCCGAGUAGUCCCUGUCUCUUAUAA
This 301-nucleotide ribosomal RNA is filed under the name uncultured bacterium. RNAcentral describes it as "partial 16S ribosomal RNA". It matches the Rfam family "Bacterial small subunit ribosomal RNA", at positions 509 to 809 of the family's 1533-position model. The record is from RNAcentral.